GCAAGUCGAACGAUGAACUCCGGCUUGCUGGGGGGAUUAGUGGCGAACGGGUGAGUAACACGUGAGUAACCUGCCCUGGACUCUGGGAUAACUCCGAGAAAUCGGUGCUAAUACCGGAUAGGACCUUUCACCGCAUGGUGGGGGGUGGAAAGUUUUUCGGUUUGGGAUGGACUCGCGGCCUAUCAGCUUGUUGGUGAGGUAAUGGCUCACCAAGGCGUCGACGGGUAGCCGGCCUGAGAGGGUGACCGGCCACACUGGGACUGAGACACGGCCCAGACUCCUACGGGAGGCAGCAGUGGGGAAUAUUGCACAAUGGGCGCAAGCCUGAUGCAGCAACGCCGCGUGCGGGAUGACGGCCUUCGGGUUGUAAACCGCUUUUAGUAAGGAAGAAGGGGAGCUUGCUCCUUGACGGUACUUGCAGAAAAAGGACCGGCUAACUACGUGCCAGCAGCCGCGGUAAUACGUAGGGUCCGAGCGUUGUCCGGAAUUAUUGGGCGUAAAGAGCUCGUAGGCGGUUUGUCGCGUCUGCUGUGAAAUCCCGAGGCUCAACCUCGGGUCUGCAGUGGGUACGGGCAGACUGGAGUGCGGUAGGGGAGAAUGGAAUUCCUGGUGUAGCGGUGGAAUGCGCAGAUAUCAGGAGGAACACCGAUGGCGAAGGCAGUUCUCUGGCCCGUAACUG
This 679-nucleotide ribosomal RNA is filed under the name Agromyces sp. PDD-3b-5. RNAcentral's name for it is "bacterial SSU rRNA". It matches the Rfam family "Bacterial small subunit ribosomal RNA", at positions 57 to 742 of the family's 1533-position model. The record is from RNAcentral. Lineage: Bacteria; Bacillati; Actinomycetota; Actinomycetes; Micrococcales; Microbacteriaceae.